UCCUUCAAUUCCUAAACUCUUCCACUAAUUAACCUCUUUCCUAAUCUUCACACUACCUUCCCCGUUCAGCCACCGUCUUCCAAAUUUUUUCACCUCACUAAUUAACAAUUGGUGUGGUGAGUAUGGACAAACAUUUCGAACCCAAGUGUCAGGGAUCCUCUUAGCAUCGAGUUUGAUCCCACCCACGACCAAGUUAUAGACCCCACUAGUCGUAAUAGAAGAGUAAAUAUAGAUCAAACCAGAAAAACUCAAAACCCAGACCCCAUACAUGACAACCAGAACACAACCCCACAAAAUCAAACAAACCCUCAAAAUUAAAAUCAGCAAAAUCAUACCAAAAAAACCCAUACCAAUAAUUUUACCACUACCCCCAUGAUAUUUUAACCCACAAAAUCAGCACCAUGCCGGACCAUCACCUACUGAUCAGGGAUCCCAA
RNAcentral lists this long non-coding RNA (436 nucleotides) under Gossypium raimondii (Peruvian cotton). RNAcentral describes it as "long non-coding RNA (GRAI_LNC009183)". The record is from RNAcentral. Lineage: Eukaryota; Viridiplantae; Streptophyta; Magnoliopsida; Malvales; Malvaceae.